This 490-nucleotide ribosomal RNA is filed under the name uncultured bacterium. RNAcentral's name for it is "partial 16S ribosomal RNA". It matches the Rfam family "Bacterial small subunit ribosomal RNA", at positions 29 to 507 of the family's 1533-position model. The record is from RNAcentral.
AGUGAACGCUGGCGGUAGGCCUAACACAUGCAAGUCGAACGGCAGCACAGGAGAGCUUGCUCUCUGGGUGGCGAGUGGCGGACGGGUGAGGAAUACAUCGGAAUCUGCCCAGUCGUGGGGGAUAACGUAGGGAAACUUACGCUAAUACCGCAUACGACCUUCGGGUGAAAGAGGGGGAUCGCAAGACCUCUCGCGAUCGGAUGAGCCGAUGUCGGAUUAGCUAGUUGGCGGGGUAAUGGCCCACCAAGGCGACGAUCCGUAGCUGGUCUGAGAGGAUGAUCAGCCACACUGGAACUGAGACACGGUCCAGACUCCUACGGGAGGCAGCAGUGGGGAAUAUUGGACAAUGGGCGCAAGCCUGAUCCAGCCAUACCGCGUGGGUGAAGAAGGCCUUCGGGUUGUAAAGCCCUUUUGUUGGGAAAGAAAUCUUUCAGGCUAAUACCCUGGGAGGAUGACGGUACCCAAAGAAUAAGCACCGGCUAACUUCGUG